UGGGGAAUUUUGGACAAUGGGCGAAAGCCUGAUCCAGCAAUGCCGCGUGUGUGAAGAAGGCCUUCGGGUUGUAAAGCACUUUUGUCCGGAAAGAAAUCCUUGGCUCUAAUACAGUCGGGGGAUGACGGUACCGGAAGAAUAAGCACCGGCUAACUACGUGCCAGCAGCCGCGGUAAUACGUAGGGUGCAAGCGUUAAUCGGAAUUACUGGGCGUAAAGCGUGCGCAGGCGGUUUGCUAAGACCGAUGUGAAAUCCCCGGGCUCAACCUGGGAACUGCAUUGGUGACUGGCAGGCUAGAGUAUGGCAGAGGGGGGUAGAAUUCCACGUGUAGCAGUGAAAUGCGUAGAGAUGUGGAGGAAUACCGAUGGCGAAGGCAGCCCCCUGGGCCAAUACUGACGCUCAUGCACGAAAGCGUGGGGAGCAAAACAGGAUUAGAUACCCCUGGUAGUCCACGCCCUAAACGAUGUCAACUAGUUGUUGGGGAUUCAUUUCCUUAGUAACGUAGCUAACGCGUGAAGUUGACCGCCU
Molecule: ribosomal RNA, 528 nt
Filed under: uncultured bacterium
Lineage: Bacteria
Description: partial 16S ribosomal RNA
Rfam family: Bacterial small subunit ribosomal RNA
Source: RNAcentral